This 547-nucleotide ribosomal RNA is filed under the name uncultured bacterium. Its description in RNAcentral is "bacterial SSU rRNA". It matches the Rfam family "Bacterial small subunit ribosomal RNA", at positions 100 to 677 of the family's 1533-position model. The record is from RNAcentral.
GCACGGGUGAGUACACGUGACUAACCUACCCUGGAGUGGGGAAUAACUGAGGGAAACCUUAGCUAAUACCGCAUAAUACCUACGGGUCAAAGGAGCAAUUCGCUUCAGGAGGGGGUCGCGGCCGAUUAGUUAGUUGGCGGGGUAAUGGCCCACCAAGACAAUGAUCGGUAUCCGGCCUGAGAGGGCGCACGGACACACUUGGAACUGAAACACGGUCCAAGACUCCUACGGGAGGCAGCAGUGGGGAAUUUUGCGCAAUGGGGGAAACCCUGACGCAGCAACGCCGCGUGGAGGAUGAAAUCCCUUGGGAUGUAAACUCCUUUCGAUCGGGACGAUUAUGACGGUACCGGAAGAAGAAGCCCCGGCUAACUUCGUGCCAGCAGCCGCGGUAAUACGAGGGGGGCAAGCGUUGUUCGGAAUUAUUGGGCGUAAAGGGAGUGUAGGCGGUUUGGUAAAGUCGUGUGUGAAAUCUUCGGGCUCAACCCGGAAGUCUGACACGAAACUGCCGGGCUUGAGUAUGGGAGAGGUGAGUGGAUUCCCUGGUGUA